UUCCCUCUCCUGAUGGAUUAUUAUUAUUAUUAUUAUUAUUAUUAUUAUUACUACUACUACUACUACUACUACUCUCCAGUGUCUAGUCGCCCAACACAUCCCCUCUCCUGAUGGUUUAUUAUUAUUAUUAUUAUUAUUACUACUACUACUACUACUACUACUACUCUCCAGUGCCUGGUCGCUCAGCACAUUCCCUCUCCUGAUGCAUUAUUAUUAUUAUUAUUACUAUUUCUCUCCAGUGUCUGGUCGCCCAACACAUUCUCUCUUCUGUUUUUUUUUAUUACUACUACUACUACUACUACUACUCAUAUACUACACUUCCUCUCCUGCUGAUUUUUAAAUAAUAAUAAUAAUAAUAAUUACUACUACUACUCAUACACUACUGCUACUACUACUACUCUCCAGUGUGAGGUUGCCCAACACAUUCCCUCUUCUGCUGGUUUUUAAAAUUAUUAUUACUUCUAGUACUACGACUACAACUACUCUACUACUACUCCUCCUCUCCAGUGUCUGGUUGUCCAACACCUUCCCUCUCCUACUGGUUUUUAAAAUAAUAAUAAUAAUAAUAACAAUAACAAUGACUACUAAUAAUAACAAUAAUAAUAAUGGCUACUACUAUUAUUAUCUUACACAAGACUCACAGCAUCAGACCUGGAGGUUGAGUGGCUUGGGGCUGACUCUUCACCCGUCAUGCCUUCCUGCCCUUUUAUGACUGUGAUGCCUGGCCAAGAAUAUGGAGUGAUCGGGCAUUUGGAACCCAUCUCUUCCUGUCUUAGCUGCUGGUGCUGCUCAGCAGUCUCACAGCCACAUUACGGCAACCCUAAAGUGAAAUCUUAUCACAAUUUUCCUGGAAAGAUUUGUUCAGAAGCUUUGCCUCACAACCUCUGAGGAUGCCUGCCAUGGAUGUGGGCAAAACGUCAGGAGAGAAGGCUUCUGGGACAUGGACAAACACUCACAGCAACCUAUUGUUGUCCGGUGACGGUAAUGGGGACACCAUUGCUUGCAAUGGACUGAAAAAAGGAGCCUAACAAGAUAGCCAGGAGAACAAGACCCUAAGAAUUGCGCAUUCGUCCCCAUGCUCUUCUCGGAGCAUGAUCAGCAUGUGGUUUGGUCUUUGGCGCAUCGGCGGGCAGUGUUUGCUUGACUCCUGGGAAGUGGAGCACUGUUGCCGCGGCCUCGGAGCAGCUGCCAACCACGAGGCCGCGUCCUGCCGGGUUUUUUUGCGGCCCCGGUCUCUCCCGCCACGGCUGCCACGCAGGGAUGGAUAACCUCCUAAUCAAUUCCUCCCGGAUAACACGGCGCGGUGACACAGAUAACGUCAGCCGCAGAUGCCGCCUGCCCUUGCGCUGCGCCGCGAGUCAGCCGCCCUUUGUUGGUGUUAACCAGCCGCCGGGCGGAGAGGGGAUUUCAAAUGGGACCCCCGGGUCAGCGGGCAGGCGGGUUAAUCCGUGUGCGCGGCUCUUAAUCCGGCGAGGAGGCCGGAAAGACGCUGAUGGCUCCGUUGCUUUUCCAUUGGACUCUUAUUUCAUAAUGCACAACCAGGAAGGCCAGGUUGGAUACCAAGUGCAUUUCUCUUGUGCUUGGAAGCAUUAGAGUUGCAUAGUGGGCAUCACCAGUGAGACCCUGUUGUCGCAUUCUGUGUGACUCUAACUAUGCAUCUACACUGUAGAAUUAGUGCAGUUUGGCACCGCUUUGCCUGCCCAAUGCUCAAUGCUAUGGGAUCCUGAGUUGUGGGUUGGUAAGGUGUGCCAAUGCUCUUUGUCAGAGAAGGCUAAAUACCUUCCUAAAUACCUUGUUUACAUAUGUAUUUUUUAUUUUCUUCACUGUUUGUUCUUUGGGCCUGGCCCCAUGUUAGCCGCCCCGAGUCUCUGUGGGGAGAUGGAGGCAGGAUAGAAAAAUAAAGUAUUAUUAUUAUUAUUAUUAUUAUUAUUAUUAUUAUUAUUAUUAUUAUUAUUAUUGACACAAAGACUCAGUAUAACACAGCGAACAAGAUAGAUAUGCUGGAUUUCGUAUCACAAAAUCACAAGUCGAACAUUUCCCAAGCCUUUAGGACUGUGUGAUGUAUUUUCGGAUGGUGCGUAGAUUAUUAUUAUUAUUAUUAUUAUUAUUAUUAUUAUUAUUAUUAUUAUUAUUAGGAAGAACUUCCUGACUGAACAUUAGGAAGAGCUUCCUGACUGUAAGAGCUGUUCAACAGUGGAACUCUCUGCCUUGGAGUGUGGUGGAAGCUCCUUCCUUGGAGGCUUUUAAACAGUGUCUGAAUGGGCAUCUGUCAGGGGUGCUUUGAAACCAGUGCAGGUGGUCCCGGUGGUGAUGGGCACACUGGGUGCCAUGCCAAAAGAUCUCAGCCGGCAUUUGGAAACAAUAGACAUUGACAAAAUUAUGAUCUGCCAGCUGCAAAAGGCCACCCGACUGGGAUCUGCGACCAUCAUCUGAAAAUACAUCACACAAUCCUAGACACUUGGGAAGUGUUCGACUUGCGAUUUUGUGAUACAAAAUCCAGCAUGUCUAUCUUGUUUGCUGUGUCAUAGUAAAAUAAUGAUUAUGAUGAUGAUGAUAAUUGUUGUUAUUAUUAUUAUGGCUGGCUGUUGGACUAGAUGGCGCAGUAGGUUUCUUCCAAUUCUAUUAUUCAAUGAUUCUAUGCUUGAACUCCUAGGAUUCCAUAACAUUGAGCUAUGGCAGCUAAAUGGACCCAAACUGCAUUAAUGAUACCGUGUGGAUCCACCCUAAGACAAGGUGACUGUGAAGGGUCCACCUGCUCUGCUUUUGGGCUCUUUGGACUCCAUGCGCCAUAGGUUGCCAUGUCUCUAAGAACGGAAUAAUGUUCCAAAGAUCUCCUCUGCUUUCGGUUGUUUACUUUGGGGUCUUUUGCAUUUGUGACAUCAGGUGAAGUAUUUUCCUUCAUGAAACAGUCCCUGUUUGAAGAGAGUUGUGUGAGUGUGCCUUUGAAGAGUGCUAUAGAAAUGGAAGAGAAGUCUUUCACCAAGGUGUCGAGGUUGCUUUGGCGCAUAGGCAACGAAUCCCCGGAUGCUCCCGAUGUCUCUUGUAUCAUGAUCCAGUCGACUCCUCAACUCUUUUCUUACAGGCAACUAAAAUGUGCACAUAUAGAUAUUUGGAAAAAGGUAGUGAAGUGGGACAUGCAAGCCUUCCCAGAUGAUGUUGAUAUGUGUGUAUUCCUAUAUGCAGCCCCUCAACUCGAAUUGUAGUGGGAGGAUUCUUUCAAUUGGACUAGAUGACCUCCAUGGUUACCUAGAAGGAUCUCCUAGAAUUCAAAAGUACUAGAAAGUUUUAGCAGCUUUCCAGGACACCCAAUGUUUACAGAUUUACCUGCCAAAUGCUUCCUAAACAUCAAAAGGAGUUUCACCGGGUGCCUCCUCCCUGGCUCAGGAAUGCGCUUAUUGCUCUUGGAAUCUGUGCCUUGCGCAUGAAUGUAUGCGGAGCAAUUAAGUCUUAAUUUAUGGUAAUCCUGUGAGUGGAAGGGCAGGAUGGAGUCAAGUCUGGCAGGCACCUGUUUCCCCCUCGCUCCCUCCUCGUCUCCGGAUUUCACCGCAGCUCAGUGGAGGGUGAGCAAGGAAUCGUGAUGAUGGGAAGGCACCACAACACACCUGGACCCUGUAUCAAUUGGGUUACGUUCCUAGUCUUCCUGUGAAUAUGGGAAGCCAUGGAUCACAGCGAGCCUUAUUGACAUGAGGGACUUCUCUUGGCCCAAGAGUGCUAUUUGCAGACUCAGAAUGGCUUUGUUGCCACCCAGCCUCUGUUUCAAAGCCUCCCAAGGAAGGAGUUUCCACCACGCUUGCACCAGGCUUCGCUGCUAGACAAGUCGAAUCCACUCUCUACGGCUCUGUAGGAAAGGACUCUUAAGCACCUCACCAAGCUACAAAUCUCGCCAGUCGUGUUGGACUACUGAACCCAUCAUCUCAAGCCACGACGGUCAUGUGAGAGCUGGCAUGGGUGACUACAGAGCCCAUCAUCUCAAGUCACAAUGGUUAUGGGAGAGCUGGCAUAGGUGACUAUACAGCCCAUCAUCUCAAUCCACGACAAUCAUGGGAGAGCUGGCCUAGGUGACUUCAGAGCCCAUUGUCUCAAUCCAUGGCGGUUGUGUGAGAGCUGGCAUAGGUGACUACAGAGCCCAUCAUCUCAAACCAUGGUGGUCGUAGGAGAGCUGGCAUAGGGCAGAAAUGACUCGAAGAUACCCAGCUCUUGUAUCUAUUUAUCUACCUAUCUAUAUCCUCCAUCCAUUUCUCUUAUCUAUACCUAAUAUAUCUAUACCUUAUAUACAGACAUGAAAGCGUUAUGUCUCCCCUGGAACUAUUGCUUCCCAUGGAGGUGUAUGUGUAGGUUUUUGGAUCACUUUCAUUGCCUUCCUGGAUCAGGAAGUUGAGUCGCAACUACAACAAAAGAAAUUCUUGCCUUAGAAGGAAGGAGGGUCAAGGUUUGGGUCUGGUCUCCUUCCUUUUUAUCCCUUCCCCUUUUCCGGGCAAAUAAUAGCCUCGCAAAGGCUAAUCGGAGGAACGUGUUGUACUCUUGGGCCUCCAGAUCCAGAGAGAGAGCAAACUGCGGCUGCCCUUUGUAGCAUCAUGACCGGGGAGUGCCAAUUUGAAUGCCUGAGCCUGCUUUUGUCUGGCGAGGCUUAGUUAUUACUCUGGAAAAUAGAGCUCCUCUGAUUCCUUCCUUCCAAGCAGGCAAAUUAGACACCCUGGCAGUUUCAGGAAGGCAGGGAAAGGGAGGAGGGAGUCCUUUAUCUCCCGCACAGCAGGUUGCCUUUUCCUGAGCUUCUGGUUGCUAAAUUCAGCCAGAGAUUGGGUCAGCGGGAGGACGGCGGGCGGCAGUAAUAGCGGCUCUGUGUGCCUGUCGGUCAUGGAUGCAUCCGCAGUGAAAUGCUCUCUUUCCAAAGGUGGCAAAUAGCAGCACUUAAUGGGAACUGGGGCUCACUGGGAUUCGGCUUGUUGCUGUUGUUGUUUUUAGUGUGCCAGGGCCUGGCUUCAAAACAGGUCAAGAAAACCAGCGUUUUCUAAGUGCCGUGUCGCACCCCAGACCAUGACCAGAGCAUCACACUCCUUGUAGUCGAAAGUACUAAAGGCAAACAGUUUAUUGUGAAAACACACAAAAGAUUUAUAGUAGCAAGCAUGGAUCAGGAAGGAAAGUGUCGAAUCCAAAAAGUCAGCCAUCAAAUGUCUCUUGUAAAUCCAAAAGCAAGGCAGUUCCAGAGUAGGGUUGUUGUGUGUUUUCCGGGCUGUAUGGCCAUGUUCUAGAAGUAUGUUUCGCCCACAUCUAUGGCAGGCAUCCUCAGAGGUUGUGAGGUAUGGAGUUCCAGAAUAGUCCCAAAAUCCAAAAGCAACAUGAGUCUAUAAGCAAAACUUGAACAAAAGUACACAACAUGAACAUGGAGACACUUUCAGAAUACUUGAAUCCCAAAACCAAGAUGAGAACUAGAGAACUCAGGCCUGGUCAUAACUUGAAAGCAUGUUGCCUGAACUGAAGAGCAAAGUGCCCGUUAUCUCCUAAUAUACAGAUCUGAAAACAUUACAUCUUGUCAGAAAUAUUAGAACAUAGAAACACUCCCAGAAUACUUGAAUCCCAAAACCAAGACGAGAACUAGACAACCCAGGCCCUAACUGUAACUUGAAAGCCACGUUGCCUGAACUGAAGAGCAAAGAGCCCAUUCGGUCCUAAUAUACAGACAUGAAAGCGUUAUGUCUCCCCUGGAACUUUUGCUUCUCACAGAAGUGUGUUGACCUACGAUGCUGGCUAUCUUCUCAAAUUUGCAGGCAAGCCAAUGAUCUGGCUUGGGUCAAUGUCAUCAGGUGCAUUCCCAUGAGACUCCUUAUCUGGAGAGGAUGAUUCCAUCACCCAUGAUUGGCCUUGAAGGCUUUGAAGUUCAGAGACAAUUACAUUCUCCGGUCUCAGGCCUGUCUCUAUGUUUAAAGCAGUUUGAGGAUGAAAACCAGGGCCUGCAUCAGAAUGAAUCCCAGGAAAGCCCACAAUCCCACCUGACUAAAUAAUCAGUGAACCCAUCAUCCCCUGCCUGCUGUGACUGCUGCUGGGCUACAGCAUGGUGGAUCUCUAACACUACUCCUUCGGGUAUUUUGGACCUCAGCUUCCAGAUGAUGGAGUCAAAACAUGGGAGUUAAAAUCCAAAAUACUUGGAGAGCCAUUGCUUGGAAUCCCUCUGAUGGCACCUCUUUCUUCCUACAUUCUUGAGAUGAACAACCACUGUCGAAAAAAUAAAUCUGAAGAAGACCAAGACUUUGACUUUGAGACGUGGUUAAGACCAUUGCAAUGAUCACUGAAUGCCAAAGAAUCAACCACGGCGUCGUGCUUCUGUUAAUUUAUGUAGGGAUUCGAAAGUUGGAUAGUGAAGAAAGCUAAAGGAGGGAUCAACUCUUUGGAGAUGGGUUCUACACAUACCACGGAUGGCCAAACAAGGUAGAUACAGUAUGACCCUCUGUUAUGUAUGGAGGAUACUUUUCAGGAUUUCCCAUAGAUACACAAAACUGGUGAAUCCUAUUGAACGAACUGCUCAUGUCAAAAGAAAUACCUAGAGAAGAUUUCUCAGAAGGCUUUGCAAGAUCCUUCAAUUUCUGGUGGAAGCCUACCAUGGAUAGAUUUACAUGGAGGACCUGGAAAAUGUCUACAGAAGAUAUAUUUUGUCAAGUAAAUCCAGGGACCGUACUGUAAGUGGAUCCAAGAGCAAAACUUCCAAGAAAAUGGCUAAACUUAGGUGAAAACAUGAGGAAAAGUGGAAUAUGGAUAGAUUGGAUCAAGGAAGCCAUCGGGGUGCUAACUGUUGAAGUGGGAAUGAUUGUAUAUAGAGUUGUUUAAAUGUAAUUGAGUCAUGGUGGUGCAAUGUGUGCUGGAGAUUGCAUCAUACACUGUGUGCUGCUUACUAUGCAAGUGUGUAAAGGGUUAAACUUGGAUUGCAUCAGACAGCAGAGGAUGAGAUAAAUAGCCCUCUACUUCCUAUCUCUGUCCUUCCCGUGUGUGUCUGCGUGAGAGCUGUGUAUCGUCUUGUGAGAUUUCCAUUUGUAAGUAAACUUUUGAUACAUAACUGAAGACUACAGCGUCGCCAUUUAUCCAGAGCUUCCUCGUCAGCGACUUCUGCUGCGUUUGUGCCUAGCAAAGGCACUCUGAUAUUGGGUUAUGGGCCCAGUACGCUUCCACUGCUAACUAACAAGGAGGUCUCCCAUCCAUAGGAUCCCUAUGGAUUGACUUGGUGGCACAUGAAAAGAACAUGGCACAGUAUGUUUUCCAUUCUCAAGUUGGGCAUACCGUGUUCAGGCGUGCUCCAGAGGAUUCUGGGAGUUGUAGUCCCAGGUGGCGUGCCCGUUGUCUGUGGCUUUGGGUGCUCCUCCUCCUCCUCCUCCAGUCCCUCUUCGUUUCCCUCUGCGGUUUGGUCUCUCGGCCAGUUUGUCAUUUAGCCGCUUGGAGCCAGCGCAAAUAGUGACAUUUGCCGAGCGUAAAAAUUCAAUUAAUUCCAGAAGGCAGAUUAAAUAUAAGUGAAUUUUAAUAAUUUGCUCUAAAGGCUGAGGAUUACUGUAGGCGAAAGAGAGGAAAUGACACUCGUGCGGUGCGGUGGGUAUUUCUUCUUCUUCUUCUUCCUUGGCACAAGUAUGUGGGAUCGCUGGCCAAAUAUAAUUAAUCUUGUUAAUUCUUUGCUUGAGGGGAGGAGAAGAGCUUGGAUGGGUUGGGGCCCCCGGUCCUUUAAUUUUUGGAACUGGAGUCUUGGGGUGCAUCUACAUUGCAGAACUAAUGCAGGUUGACACUCUUUUGUAGGGCUGUGAAAUCCUGGGAGUUGUAGUUUCACAAGGUCUUUUACAGGGCUAUGGAGUCCUGGGUGUUGUAGUUUCACAAGGUCUUUUACAAGGCUAUGGAGUCCUGGGAGUUGUAGUUUCACAAGGUCUUUUACAGGGCUAUGGAGUCCUGGGAGUUGUAGUUUCACAAGGUCUUUUACAAGGCUAUGGAGUCCUGGGAGUUAUAGUUUCACAAGGUCUUUUACAAGGCUAUGGAGUCCUGGGAGUUGUAGUUUCACAAGGUCUUUUACAGGGCUAUGGAGUCCUGGGAGUUAUAGUUUCACAAGGUCUUUUACAGGGCUAUGGAGUCCUGGGAGUUGUAGUUUCACAAGGUCUUUUUCAGGGCUAUGGAGUCCUGGGAGUUGUAGUUUCACAAGGUCUUUUACAAGGCUAUGGAGUCCUGGGAGUUAUAGUUUCACAAGGUCUUUUACAGGGCUAUGGAGUCCUGGGAGUUGUAGUUUCACAAGGUCUUUUACAAGGCUAUGGAGUCCUGGGAGUUAUAGUUUCACAAGGUCUUUUACAAGGCUAUGGAGUCCUGGGAGUUGUAGUUUCACAAGGUCUUUUACAGGGCUAUUGAGUCCUGGGAGUUAUAGUUUCACAAGGUCUUUUACAGGGCUAUGGAGUCCUGGGAGUUGUAGUUUCACAAGGUCUUUUUCAGGGCUAUGGAGUCCUGGGAGUUGUAGUUUCACAAGGUAUUUUACAGAGCUAUGGAGUCCUGGGAGUUGUAGUUUCACAAGGUCUUUUAGAGGGCUAUGGAGUCCUAAGAGUUAUAGUUUCACAAGGUAUUUUACAGAGCUAUGGAGUCCUGGGAGUUGUAGUUUCACAAGGUCUUUAACCUUCACUUCCAGAGUGUUGAUGCUUUGCUGGCACCACCCAUGUGCCAAUGCAUGGAGGGCGCAUGCAUGUGCUGCUGGUGGCCUUGUUGCUUCUAAUUAUUCCAUGCGCGUGUUUCCGUAAUUUGCACUUUCCAGCGACGGAGUCAUCAAUAAUGGAUGCGCUACCUGCGCUACCUGUCUCUUCCCGGUGAGGGUUGACGGGGAGAUUUAAGCGGGGAGCGAGCGGCGCACUUGGCGUUCACGCACCCACAUCUCUUCAAGGCGUGACGCUUUCCCGUGCGCCACCUGCUCUUUUCUGCCGCCCGAGGACUGCCUUUGGUUCCCGUCCUUGACUUCUGCGCCUUGUUAGUGUGUUCAAAGCUGAGACAUAAAACCUUGGGACGUCAAUCCAUCUUGCUCACUUGCGCCUGCUCCAUAUGCCGCUCUUUUGUUCAGAAAGCAGCUUGGUUCUGUUUCAAGCAGAUGCAAGGGAGGCCUUGGGUACAUCUGCACCAUGGAGUGGAUGCAGUUUGACACCACUUUCAGUGCUAUGGAAAGCCCAUCAUAUUGUAAUUAUAGCAUUGGACUCUCCAGACCAGAUUUCGAAUCCCUGCUUGUCCAUGAGACCCAUUGGGUGCGCUUGGGCAGGUCACACACUCUCAGCCUCAGAGGAAGGCAGUGACAAACCACAUCUGGGGGUUGGUGCUCAUCUCCAUUUACAAGAAAAAGAGCCGGCGUUGUCUAUAGACACCUCCAAGGUCAUGUGGCCAUAGGCAUGACUGCAUGGAGUGCAGUUACCUUCCCGCCCAUAGGAGCAGUACCUAUUGAUCUACUUCCAUUUGUAUGUUUUUGGACUGCUAGGUUGACAGAAGCUGGGGCUAACAGCGGGUUCGAACUGCCGAGCUUUUAGUCAGCAAGUUCUGCAGCUCAGUGAUUUAAUGUGCUGUGCCACUGGGGGCUCCUCUAUUAUUAUUAUUCAAUAAUAAUAAUAAUAUUUGAUGAUGAUAACAUCUUCUCUGGAUUUUUUCAAUCAAAGGCCGGGUGGCUACCUGGCAGAAGGGGGUUGGAUUGCGUGGGCCUUGGGAAUCCUUUUAGGAUUCAAUAAUAACUUCAAAGACUCUGGCAGAAACCAGUACAGGUGGUCCCGGUGGUGAUGGGCACAUUGGGUGUCGUGCCAAAAGAUCUCAGCCGGCAUUUGGAAACAAUAGACGUUGACAAAAUUACGAUCUGCCAGCUGCAAAAGGCCACCCGACUGGGAUCUGCGCACAUCAUCCAAAAAUACAGUAGAGUCUCACUAAUCCAAGCCUCGCUAAUCCAAGCCUCUGGAUAAUCCAAGCCAUUUUUGUAGUCAAUGUUUGCAAUAUAUCGCGAUAUUUUGGUGCUAAAUUCGUAAACACAGUAAUUACAACAUAGCAUUACUGCGUAUCGAACUACUUUUUCUGUCAAAUUUGUUGUAUAACAUGAUGUUUUGGUGCUUAAUUUGUAAAAUCAGAACCUAAUUUGAUGUUUAAUAGGCUUUUCCUUAAUCCUUCCUUAAAAUCCAAGAUAUUCGCUUAUCCAAGCUUUUGGUGGCCCGUUUAGCUUGGAUAAGUGAGACUCUACUGUACAUCACACAGUCCUAGACACUUGGGAAGUGUUCGACUUGUGAUUUUGUGAUAUGAAAUACAGCAUAUCUAUUUUGUUUGCUGUGUCAGACUAUGUCGUUGUGUCAAUAAUAAUAAUAAUAAUAAUGACAGUAACCUUUGAUGAAAUUUUCAAUUAUUAUUAUUAUUAUUAUUAUUAUUAUUAUUAUUAUUAUUAUUAUUAUUAUUACAACAAUAAUAUUGCCUAAAUGAACCAAUAUUUGAUGGGGGUUUUAAAAUAUUUUAAAUCUGGGGUUGUUGUAUGUCUUUUGGGCUGUGUGGCCAUGUUUCAGAAGUAUCCUCUCCUGAUGUUUCGCCCACAUCUAUGGCAGGCAUCCUCAGAGGUUGUGAGGCAUGGAGAAACAACCUCUGAGGAUGCCUGCCAUAGAUGUGGGUGAAACGUCAGGAGAGAAUACUUCUGGAACAUGGCCACACAGCCCAAAAGACAUACAACAACCCUGUGAUCCCGGCCAUGAAAGCCUUCGACAACAUAUUUUAAAUCUAUUUCAAUCUAUUGACUGUUUGACUGUGUUUCUACGUUUAGAUGUCAAUCACGUUUAUGUAGGUUAUUACGGUUUUUAUAGAUAGGAUUAUGUUUAGGAUGCACAAUCGUUUUGCUUCUUACAUGUUGUGCGCCGCUCUGAGCCCCAAUCCGGGAGAGAAGUGGGAUAGAAAUAGGGUUGUUGUAUGUCUUUCGGACUGUGUGGCCAUGUUCCAGAAGUAUUCUCUCCUGAUGUUUCGCCCACAUCUCUGAAACCUCAGAAGAGAAUACUUCUGGAACAUGGCCACACAGCCAUAAAGACAUACAACAACCCUGUGAUCCCAGCCAUGAAAGCUUUCGACAACACACGGGAUAGAAAUAAAUAAUAAUAAUAAUAUUUGAUGAUGGUGGUGGAUUGUCUUUUCCAAGCCUGUGAUCUCUUUGCCGCCCCGUUGGUUUCCUCUGGGAUACCGUUUAACGUGGCAAGGAUUUCGCAAGCCUUUCCUUGUUCUCUAGGAACAAAAAUGGCAAGGGUUUCCUAUGCGUAAGGGAGACGCUUGCACCGGACGGCACCUCGUCGCAGCCGCCCGUCCACCUGCUAUCUGUCGAGAGGGAUCCGGAGUGUCCUCCGCCGAUAACAAAUGGGUUGGAGCCUCCUCGGUCCAGCCAAGGCUCCGUGCCAGCUCAGCUUGUAAUCGGCCGAGGCGCCUUCCAAGCGGCGGACAGCGUGCCAAGCGCUUACCAUCCUGCUUGGCCCUGCGUCGCCUGCCCGGAUCACCAACCUGCCCAUCAAUAAACCGGCUCUUGGCCCCGGCGAGCGUUACCCUGGCGACGGGGAAAGGUCGGCUCCAAAUUGUGCUGCGUGGAAACCAGAAAUCGUCUUCUUUCUCUCUGUAUUUCGGUGCCUGAUUGGCCUCCCAGCUUGUUUUCUUGGCUGGCUGCUCUAGACUCACCGGUUCCUUUUGGGGAUUGUGCAGGGAAGAUGUGUACGGCUGAGAUGUGUUGACGUUUGGACGAUUUGAAAUGCAUCUCGAGCAGGCCUGGGCUAACUUCUGCCCUCUGGGGGUUUGGACUGCAACUCCCACAAUUCCUAACAGUCGGUCACUGAAGAUGUGGAGAGUGCUGCAGUCAUUGCAGCAAGACGGAGAUAAACAUGUCACUAAACGUGUGGAAAGUUCUGCAGGUGUUGCAGCAAGACUGAGUUGAACAUGUCACUGAGCAUGUGGAGAGUUCUGCAGUCAUUGCAGCAAGACAGAGUGAAACGUGUUACUGAACAUGUGGAGAGUGCUGCAAUCAUUGAAGCAAGACUGAGUUGAACAUGUCAUUGAAUAUGUGAAGAGUGCUGGAGCAGUUGCAGCAAGACGGAGUUAAACAUGUCACAGAACAUGUGGAGAGUGCUGCAAUCAUUGCAGCAAGACUGAGUUGAACAUGUGGAGAGUUCUGCAGUCUGUUGUUGAAGCCUUUCAUGGCCAGAAUCACUGGCUUGCUGUGAGUCCCAGAAGCAUUCUCUCCUGACGUUUCACCCACAUCUAUGGCAGGCAUCCUCAGAGGUUGUGAGGCUCUGCAAUCACUGCGGCAAGACAGAGAUAAACAUGUCACUGUCUAUGUGGAGAGUUCUGCAGUCAUUGCAGCAAGACCGAAUUAAACAUGUCCCUGAACAUGUGAAGAAUGCUGGAGUCGUAUUGCGGCAAGACUACAAGUUGAGCAUGAAUGACCUCUGCUUCCCAAGCCAUAUCCAGAAGAUCUAUCACACCUCCAUGGAGAACUGGAUUGUCCAUUCAAAGUCCAUCUGCAAUUUUUCUUGCUAUAGGUAUGCAUAGGUGUGUACACCAACAUGGCUGGUCUCAUCAUCCUCAUCAUCAUCAUCUAGAGCCUGAGCUUACUUUUCCACUUGGUCAGAAUGGCUGUCCGGAUGAGACAUGCUCUCUUCCUCCAUGCGCUCCAUGCACACCAGCUGCCACUUUUGGCCUUGCCCUCGGCCAAGAGUCACAUCUGCUUCGGGGAACCAGGUUCAAGCUCUGAAGUGGCCUCUUUCCCAGUCACGGAUUUUGGCCGAUUCCUGGUCACCCAAAGAUCUUUUGGAUUGGUCGGGACAACCUGGCUCUCCAAAUGGCCCGAGUCCCCCCUUCGUUGCUUCCAACGGAGAUAAGUGCUGGAGCCAUCGCUUGCCUUGGCGGGUGCCGUUCCCCGGCUGCUAGUCAGCCAGGCAGCCAGAUGGACGCUCCAGACACCAGCUUCUCCUUCCACUGCAUUUUGGAACAUGGAAUGCUUUUGUUGCGGAGGAGAGGAGGAGAGGGAGGAAGAAAGAGGGAAGGAAAGAAAGAACGAAAGAAGGGAGGAAAGAGGAUAUGUGUGCAUGUACACUAUAGAAUGGAUGCAGCUUGACACCACUUCAACCUCUAUGGUUCAGUGGAACCUUGGGAGUUAUAGAUUUGCAAGGUCUUUAGCCUUCUCUACCAAAGAGUUCAAACUACACCUCUCAUCUGCACAUCUCAUUGCAUUGAGCCACAAUGGUUAAAGCGGUGUCAAACUGCAUCAAUUUGACAGUAGAUGCACCCCAUAGAUGCACCUAUGACUAGAGCAUCAUACAGGAGACCAGAGUAAGGAUAAACAGUUUAUUGUAAAAACACUCAAAAGAUAUAUAGUAAAAAAACAAGGCUACAGAAAGGAGGGGUAGAAUCCAAAAAGUCAGCAAUCAAAUGUCUCUUGUAAAUCCAAAAACACAGCAAUUCCAGAAUAGUCCCAAACUUGAGUCCAUAAACAAAACUGGAACAAGGAUACGCAACAUGAACAUGGAAACACUUCUAGAAUACUUGAAUCCCAAAACCAAGACGAGAACAAGAGAACAUAGGCCUGGCUGUAACUUGAAAGCCACGUUGCCUGAACUGAAGAGCAAAGUGCGCAUUAGCUCCUAAUAUACAGACAUGAAAGCAUUACGUCUUGUCAGAAAUAUUAGAACAUGGAAACACUCCCAGAAUACUUGGAUCCCAAAACCAAGAUGAGAACAAGAGAACCCAGGCCUGGCCGUAACUUGAAAGCCACGUUGCCUGAACUGAAGAGCAAAGAGCCCAUUCACUCCUAAUAUACAGACAUGAAAGUGUUAUGUCUCCCCUGAAACUUUUGCUUCCCACCAAGACAUGUUGAACUACGAUGCUGGCAACCUGCUCAAAUUUGCAGGCAAGACUCUUGGCUUAGGUCAGUGUCACCAGGUGUGUUCCUAUGAGAAUUUCUCAUCAAUUCAUCUUCGUUAGACUCCUUAUCUGGUUUCUGACUCCCGUGACUGGCCUUGAAGGCCUCGAGGAUCAGAGGCAUUUACAUUUUCAGUCCAAUCUGUGUCUGUGUCUAAAGCAGUUUAACUUUCUGGCUCUGCAUGAGAAUGGAUCCCAGGAAAGCCCACAAUCCCACCUGACUCUAAAUCAUCAGUGAACCCAUCAUCCCCUGCCUGUUGUGACUACUGCUGGGUUACAACACCUGGAAAAGCUUUAGAAUAAAUCCAAAAGUCCAUAAGCAAAAUUUGAACAGCGAUACACAACAAGAACAUGGAAACACUUCCAGAAUACUUGAAUCCCAAAACCAAAGUCCUGACUGUAACGAAAAGCCAAGUUGCCCGAACUGAAGAGCAAAGAGCCGGUUAGUUCCUAAUAUACAGACAUGAAAGCGUUACGUCUCCCCUGGAACUUUUGCUUCCCACCAAGUCUUGUUGACCUGUGUCUAGAGCAGUUUCACUUUCAGGAUCUGCAUGAGAAUGAAUCCCAGGAAAGCCCACAAUCCCACAUCAGUGAACCUAUCAUCCCCUGCUUACUGUGACUGCUGCUGGGCUACAAUACCUGCAAAGGCCUAGGAAUAUAUCUGCGACCUUUUUGCAUUGAGGAUCUUUCCCGCAGAGUCUCCGUUCUUUGCCUUUCCGUUAAUGAGCAAGCCAAGACUUAGGAGGAAAAUCAAGGGAAGGAAAAUAAUAAAAUCCAGGGUCAGGAGCUGCGGCGCCCUCGGGUGAAAUUGAAAAUGGCAGCCUUUCGUCAAUUAAAUGGCGUUCUCCCCCAAGACCCAACUGCACUCCAAUGUUGCCCUGAAUUAGUCAGGCAACGCAUUUGCAAAAGGAAUCAUAAUGUUAAUUAGUUUUGAUAAGUUCUCCAAACAGCUGCAGAUGGCAAGUCUCGUUCCCUUUCUGGCUUGCAUCAGGCGAGAGCUGGAGAGGUCUGGAGGGGUAGGCAGAGUUUGGAAGUGCUUUUGGUCUUGGUUGUCCAGCCAUGUUCCAGAAGCAUUCUCUCCUGACGUUUUGCCCCCAUCUAUGGCAGGCAUCCUCGGAGGUUGUGAAGUCCAGGAAACUAGGCAAGUGGGGUUUAUAUAUCUCCAGGUUGGGAGAAACAACUCUUGUCUGCCUGAGGCGGAUACGAAUGUUGCCUUUGGCCACCUUGAAUAUCAUUGAAUGGCCUUGCAGCUUCAAAGCCUGGCUGCUUCCUACCUGGGGAGGAAUCCUUUGUUGGGAGGUGUUAGCUGGCCCUGAUGAUUUCCUGUCUGUAAUUCCCCUGUUGUCUGAGUGUUGCUCUUUAUUUACUCUCCUGAUUUAAGUAUUUU
Anolis carolinensis (green anole) is the source of this 15280-nucleotide long non-coding RNA. RefSeq lists it as uncharacterized. The transcript is spliced from 2 exons. Lineage: Eukaryota; Metazoa; Chordata; Lepidosauria; Squamata; Anolidae. The record is from RefSeq and is a predicted model, not a curated record.